AUACUUAUCUGGCAGGGAGAUACCAUGAUCAGGAAGGUGGUUUUCCUAGGGUGAGGCUUACCCAUUGCACUCUGGAUGUGCUGGCCUUUGGCAAUUUCCCCAAAUGUGGGAAACUCAACUGCAUAAUUCGUGGAAGUGGGCAGCUGUGUGCUCUCCCCU
Myotis lucifugus (little brown bat) is the source of this 159-nucleotide small nuclear RNA. Its record names the gene U1. It matches the Rfam family "U1 spliceosomal RNA". Rfam says of the family: U1 is a small nuclear RNA (snRNA) component of the spliceosome (involved in pre-mRNA splicing). Its 5' end forms complementary base pairs with the 5' splice junction, thus defining the 5' donor site of an intron. There are significant differences in sequence and secondary structure between metazoan and yeast U1 snRNAs, the latter being much longer (568 nucleotides as compared to 164 nucleotides in human). Lineage: Eukaryota; Metazoa; Chordata; Mammalia; Chiroptera; Vespertilionidae. The record is from Ensembl.